Molecule: ribosomal RNA, 766 nt
Filed under: uncultured bacterium
Lineage: Bacteria
Description: bacterial SSU rRNA
Rfam family: Bacterial small subunit ribosomal RNA
Source: RNAcentral
AACGGGUGCGUAACACGUGAGCAAGUUGCCGAUCAGUGGGGAAUAGCCGGCCCAACGGCCGGGUAAUACCGCAUACGUUCACCGCCUGGCAUCUGGUGGUGAAGAAAGCUCCGGCGCUGAUCGAGACGCUCGCGGCCUAUCAGCUAGUUGGUGAGGUAACGGCUCACCAAGGCGACGACGGGUAGCUGGUCUGAGAGGAUGGCCAGCCACAUUGGGACUGCGACACGGCCCAGACUCCUACGGGAGGCAGCAGUGGGGAAUAUUGCGCAAUGGACGAAAGUCUGACGCAGCGACGCCGCGUGAGGGAUGAAGCUUUUCGGAGUGUAAACCUCUGUUGCCCGGGACGAACAUCCUCUUUCGAGAGGACUGACGGUACCGGGUGAGGAAGCACCGGCUAACUCUGUGCCAGCAGCCGCGGUAAUACAGAGGGUGCGAGCGUUGUCCGGAAUCACUGGGCGUAAAGGGCGCGUAGGUGGCUUGGUAAGCGUGUGGUGAAAGCUCGGGGCUCAACCCCGAGUCUGCCGUGCGAACUGCCGAGCUUGAGCAGAGUAGAGGCAGGUGGAAUUUCGGGUGUAGCGGUGGAAUGCGUAGAGAUCCGAAAGAACACCGGUGGCGAAGGCGGCCUGCUGGGCUCUUGCUGACACUGAGGCGCGACAGCGUGGGGAGCAAACAGGAUUAGAUACCCUGGUAGUCCACGCCGUAAACGAUGAGUACUAGGUGUCUGGGGGAGCGACCCCCUGGGUGCCGGCGCUAACGCAUGAAGUAC